CUGAGUUAUCCAACUCCCAAACCCCUGUGAACAUACCUAUGUUGCUUCGGCGGGCCGUCCCGCGGCGCGCCCACGUGGCGUGACCCGGACCCAGGCGCCCGCCGGGGAACCAAACUCUUGUCUUCCAGUGUCUCCUCUGAGUGGCAUAAGCAAAAAUAAACA
Molecule: unclassified non-coding RNA, 162 nt
Filed under: soil metagenome
Description: partial internal transcribed spacer 1
Source: RNAcentral